GUCUCUGUGGUGCAAUCGGUUAGCACAUUCGGCUGUUAACUGAAAGGUUGGUGGUUCAAGCCCACCCAGGGAGGCG
Molecule: non-coding RNA, 76 nt
Organism: Protopterus annectens (West African lungfish)
Lineage: Eukaryota; Metazoa; Chordata; Ceratodontiformes; Protopteridae
Source: the annotation of a RefSeq genome assembly